CACAGAGGGGGCAAGCGUUGUUCGGAAUUACUGGGCGUAAAGGGCGCGUAGGCGGCCUGUUAAGUCGAACGUGAAAUCCCCGGGCUCAACCCGGGAACUGCGUCCGAUACUGGCAGGCUUGAAUCCGGGAGAGGGAUGCGGAAUUCCAGGCGUAGCGGUGAAAUGCGUAGGUAUCUGGAGGAACACCGGUGGCGAAGGCGGCAUCCUGGACCGGCAUUGACGCUGAGGCGCGAAAGCCAGGGGAGCAAACGGG
This 253-nucleotide ribosomal RNA is filed under the name uncultured bacterium. Its description in RNAcentral is "partial 16S ribosomal RNA". It matches the Rfam family "Bacterial small subunit ribosomal RNA", at positions 524 to 776 of the family's 1533-position model. The record is from RNAcentral.